UCGGAAUUACUGGGCGUAAAGCGUGCGCAGGCGGUUCGUUAAGUCAGAUGUGAAAGCCCCGGGCUCAACCUGGGAACUGCAUUUGAAACUGGCGGGCUUGAGUAUGGCAGAGGGGGGUGGAAUUCCGCGUGUAGCAGUGAAAUGCGUAGAGAUGCGGAGGAACACCGAUGGCGAAGGCAGCCCCCUGGGACGUGACUGACGCUCAUGCACGAAAGCGUGGGGAGCAAACAGG
RNAcentral lists this ribosomal RNA (232 nucleotides) under uncultured bacterium. RNAcentral's name for it is "partial 16S ribosomal RNA". It matches the Rfam family "Bacterial small subunit ribosomal RNA", at positions 545 to 776 of the family's 1533-position model. The record is from RNAcentral.